This 1099-nucleotide long non-coding RNA is filed under the name Chrysemys picta bellii (western painted turtle). RNAcentral describes it as "lncRNA (ENSCPBG00000003644.1)". Lineage: Eukaryota; Metazoa; Chordata; Testudines; Emydidae. The record is from RNAcentral.
AUGGUGUGUGUUAGAGCCACAACUGAAAGUCCUAACAGUGGUACACAGUUUGAAAUGAGCUUAGAAGCACUUAUUCGUAAAGCUGCUAUGAAAAGUCUCAAUCAUACCAUUUUUAAAAGGAUAAUUUAUUUACCAGAUACUAACACUGUAUAGAUUCCCACAUCCUUUCUGCAUACUGUUUUGAAAUAAGUUUACGAAAAUCACUUUUCUUUUCACACUAUCUCCUUAAUAGAUUGUUUUUUGUGCCAAAUACAAACAUAGCUGCAUUACAAGCCAUUGUUCACCAAGGCUUGCUCAUACACAAAGGAGGCAAGCUUAUUUUAAAACACAUUGUGUGAUAGUCUAUCAGAAGAACAGGAAAAUCAGCAGUUCACCCUCACUCAUACCAGCCAAAACAAAACAGGAAGUCUUCACACAAACUGAAACCGCAACACUGCUAGGAUUCAAUUUUUACUAAGGCCUUAAACUUGUCAGUGUUUCAAAAGACAUUUCCUCAAACCCUAUAUAAUCUUGUAUAGUCUAUUAUAGAUUCUUGAUGGAUAUAGUAUUUAAACUUUUUUUUUCAAUUUCUUCUCUCCAAAGUAAGGAAGUUACCAGCUACCAAAAGAUAAUUUGAAGCCAGAUACCUGGUGACUGAGUCAAAUUAGGGGACAAGAGAGGGGAACUAGCUUUAUUUUUGAGGAAGAGCAGUCCAUGCACUUGAGUUGCUUCCUAAAAGGAAGGGCUUUAUUAGAGGGUGUAUGGUACACAUUUCCAAUGUUGUGUCAGAAGCCAACAAGAAGACUUGUGUGAGAAAACUGUCGUGAGCUGUGUGGUGGUGUUUUGUUGCCACAGCAGUUUGUUCACACAUACCCUACUUUUCUUUACUUCUCACAAAAUAUACUUUCAAUUGAAAGAUUGUCUUCUACAGAGAAGCCAGUUCUUGUGUAACCUAUUCCUGUCCAGUUUGCAAAGAAAAUGAUCACAAGAUGGAACAAGCCUGUCCCACUACCUUGCAGGUUUCGCUAUCAAGUACUUUCAGGAAAUACGAGAGUUUUUAAUAAUUAAGAAACUGGCUAUUCCCAGUUAUCUGUCACCUGGAGACUGGCUAGUUUCUAGG